Taeniopygia guttata (zebra finch) is the source of this 13283-nucleotide non-coding RNA. Lineage: Eukaryota; Metazoa; Chordata; Aves; Passeriformes; Estrildidae. The record is from RefSeq and is a predicted model, not a curated record.
GAGGGGCUCGGCAGGUGCCGCGUCCCUCCGGGGCUCUGUGUGCCACCCCUAGAGGGCUCCCGCCUUCCUUCGGCCGCAGCGAGCCGCAGAGCCCGGCAGAGUCUGCGGGAACCUGGCAGGGGAGCCCCUGCCUGGGCUGUGCUGUCCUUCCUUUAGUGUUUUCCUCCUUUUUGCAUCUCUUAGUCAAGAUUAAAAAAUUCUGAAGCCUUCUUUAUAUAGGAUAUAGAAGGCAUUUCUCUGUGUUUUUCUACAAAGAGAUGCCUCUUUUUUAAUCUUUUAGUUGACAGCCCAGUUCCUUUAUGAAACCACAUUCUGGUGUCAAUGUGGGGAAAGGAAAAAAUAAUUCUAACAAUGGAUGAGAAGACAGUUCAGGCUUUCUGCCUAAUUAAUUAUAGUCAUUUAAAAUCUUGAGCAAAGUCUAUGCUUGGAGAAGUUCUAAGUUAUAAUUAAACCAUGCUGCUAACGAUGGAUCUAAUUGUUGGGUUACAGACAAGCACAGGUAACACAAGUUGGGCCACUGACAACAGAUAUUUUACCCAAUUGUUUUCUGUUGAUGCAGCUAAUUCCACACAACUGUUCCAGCAGCCAGAAUGACCAGCAUGGGGUGAGUGCAGAGGCAUGUUAGGAGUUUUCCCUGACAGACUUGACUGGCACAAGGUCAUUGGUCUUUACAGGUUCCAUGUCCUCUGUGGUGCUGGCUGUCAGAAGGCUCCCUGGAGCACAGCUGCUUUAGCCCUGCUCCUGCUGAACCCCUACAAUGACAGACUUGGAGACAGGAGAAUGGGUCAGCCACUGAGAUGACUCUGCCAAUUCUUUCUUUCUACCCUAUAGCUUUCUGAAGAACAGAAAUGGUGCCAUUGAGAUCAAGGUCAAAUUCAACAGUGAAAGCAGGCUUUGGUGUUGCGCUGGUGAGUCUGCUUUUAAAACUAAACAGUAAUUCUCUCCCUCUCUCUGUCCCCCCUCCAAAGGAUUUCCAUCUCUUCAAAGUGAGAGAAAUAUCAACUCAUAUAUAAGUAUGAGUUACUCUUACUGUAGAUCUAGGACUGGUUGCCUGUACAAUUUUUAGGCCUAAUGGAUCAGGACACUAAAGUGAGUAUCAAAUUCCAGAAAUUCAGUACUAAGGUGACAUUUAAAGUCUAAAUACAAGGUGUUUGAAAGUUACCAGCUAAAUCACUGAAACAAUGUUCCUGCUGCACACGGCAGUGAUACCAGAAAUUUGUAAGGAAAACAUUUCAAGUGCUGGAUUUUGUACUGACACUAAAACCUUUGGAAAACAGUUUAAUCUUCCUCCCCAUACCAAUUAUGUUCUUCCUCAUGGGGAAGUUUAUAAGGCUGGGUUUUGCCUAAAUUGUAGCAUUUCAAUUUGUCUUGGUUUUGUUUGCUUUCUAAGGUAAAGAGGUUAUAGAUCUGUGUUCCCAGUCCUAAGAUUUGUAAUUGGUGGUUUUUACUUUUUUAUUUACUUGGUAAUGCUAGCAAGAGAUUGGAAAGGACUGUUUUCUGCAGGGCAAAGUAGACAUGAAGGGGAUCUGGGCAAUUUAGUGGUUUUUACUUUUAGGUAGUUUAAGGAAGAGCUAAUGAAUACACCCUAAUACAAAUAUUAACAAAAAGUCUUUGUUUCUUCCUCCUACUAAUAAUCACCUUUUGUAAUGGAAGACACAUUGCAGAAGCUGCCCCUGCCAUUAGAAAAUUGUCUUCUAAUAUUUUAUUGUUAAUGACCUUUUAAGUCAGUGAGCUAUUCCCACUAGCAGUUGGCCAGGCCAGGAUGUGCAUUAGCAGGCUAAUGGCAGGCAGCCUUGCUGUGUCUCAUGGCAAUCCUCUGGAGCUGGUUGCAUCACUUGGAGCACUUAAUACUGCCUUUAGCUCUGCUAAAGCACUUCUUGUGCUCCCAUCACCUCCUUUGGGAGACUGCUCCAUUGACAAACAGAUCUCACUGUCAGGAAGUGUCUUUCCUGUUCUUCAGUCUUACUGAUCUCGGCUCCAAAAUAUAUAACUGUAAGUUCUUUGACUACUCUUCAAUGAAAAGUUUAAAAAAGAAAAAAAAAAAAAAAGAACAAAAGUGAUCACACUUGUAUAAAAAAAUAAACUGAAAUAACUUGGUUUCCAGUCUUUACUGUAAAACUUGUAGAACUUGGGGUUUUAGUUAAAUGCUGCCUGCAGAUAUUUUUGGCUGAUGGCAGCAGGAUCUUGAAGCUGGCUAGCAUUAAAUCCACUCAUAAAUAAAACUACUGCGCCUUUGGGUCUGUCAGGGACUGAUGUGUGUGCCUGUGUCAUGUACAAAAGCUGGCAGCUAAUGAAAGCCACACAGAGCUGCUCAGGGAAGUUUGUGAGGUUACACAAUACACUAGCUGAGAUGUCACAGGAAAGCCAAGGGCUGGGGGUGUGGAGGGAGGACCACCGGAGCUGCAUUUUGCAGAAAAAUGGUGUCAGCACAAGAGCAGCCUGCAAAACUCCCGGGCUGGGCAGGGGGAGCCCUCCACAGCCCGGGAGAGAGGCUGGUGUGCAGGAAGUAGCUGGAGAGGGGUUUUCACAAGGACCUGUUGUUUGGUUGUUCAGAUUAUAUCAGUGUUCUGGCUAUUGAGAGGGAUUUGGCCUUUGGGUUUUGCUUUCGGCUUUAUUUAUUUUUGCUUGUUCUCAAUUCUCUUUGUGAAUACCAAUAUUCUGAGUCACUCAGAAUGAUUUCUGCCUUCAUUAAAGAUUCCUUCCAGCUCCCCUUCUACUGCCUGUAGGCUGGUGCCUGCCCUGCCUCCCCCUUUGCACUUUGCUGCACAUAUUUAGCUCUCAGUAUUCCACCACUUCUCAACUCCUGCAGCUCUGGCACCUGAGUACCUUCAGUUCUUUGCACAAUUUGUGUUAAUCUGAUCUCUUCUGCAUUGUUCUUGCACUGUCCCACAUGUUUCCCGUGGUAUGAGGCUACAGUUUAUCCCAGUGCUACAGCAGCUCUGCUUAGAGCUGAUUGAGUGAAAUGCUUCAACCUGGAAACCAGGCAUCCAGUGUAACUGUUUCUGGUACACAGCUCCUCCUGUGUCACCCGUAAUGAAUCCAUUUACCUAUUUGCCUUUGUUUCUUUAAUAUGCAUUGGUGUUGAAACUGUCUAUGGUAUCUACACCAAACAGGGCCAUGUUUCUCUAAAACCAAAAUUAAAAGAUGCACUAUACCAAAAAUGUAAUUGUAUAGUGCUUUAAGGGAUGUUCCUAUAUGAACUGCUGAGCUCUGUCACACUCUAAGGCUCAUGUGUAAGAAAAUACAAAUCAAUAAAGAAAAUAACCUGGGAAGGAGGAUGGGUCACUGUGUCAAUACUGUAGAUGCCUUAGAGCUUGUUAAUGACUGUCCCUAAUGGUAUUCAAACAAUCUACGUUUGCUUUAGCUUUUUUCAAAGUCCAGAUGAGCUGCUCAGAGCUCUCUUAAUGAUGUGAAUUAUUUAAUGCUCAUUUGUAUGCAGUAUGUUCCUGCUUUGAAAGUACUUCACAGAAUUGGAACCAAAUUCAGCCUUGCAGCUCCACUGAAGUCAGUGCUUGUCUGUGCAUCUGUUGGUUGCCUCUCUUUUUUGUUUUGAUUGAAGAGUUACCCUCUUGUUAUGCUGAUAAUAUUUUUUUAAAGGUAAUAUCUGCAAAGGAUUUUUCAUCACUCUUCUCUCCUCCCAAAAAAUCAGCUGUAAGUACAGAAGCAGUUCUGCUGAUUCUCACAUCUCCCUCUUAACCCCUGCAAACUAAGCAGAAUACAAUUUUGGUGUUCUUUUCUUUCCUUUACUUUGCACCUCCUAAGCACAGUUUCAGUGGUAUCUGGCACUUCUCCUGAAAAUCAUCCUGCAAAGAAUCUUUGCCAUCUGAUGUAUGCAAGAUAUUCUCUGUGGCCCAUUUCUUGUUUAACACAACAUGAAUUGGUGGAGACCAAAGUCUUCAACAAUUCUGCAGGUUGGUUUUGCUCAGUGUAACAAUGUCAGGAUGUAUUUUCUUGUUAUUGAGAGCAACAGGCAGAGGAGCCUACCUGAAAUUUUGAAUUAAAGUAGCUGCUGAAAGGUGAAACAGACUCUCUUAGUUCAAGCACAAACUCGUUUUUAGCUAGACUUGAUACUUGCAGUAUUCUUGUAAUGUAGUUUUUCAGUCAUCCCAACCAUGUUUUUAGCACACACACUGAAGAAAAUAAAGAAUCAUUGCAAAGAUAUUGUUCACUCCCUCUGGGUAACGAGUAGGGCAUGAUUUUCAGCUUGCAGCACAGACCCACAGCCAUCUACUGCCUGCACAGAGGAAGUGGGAGGAAUGGAAAAGCAACCUUUCUAGAUGUGCAUGUCACUAGAAUGGGCAGAGACGUUUCUUGUCAGGUGUUAGAGAUUUGCUGGCAGCACAGGGAUGAGUGCUGAGACGUGGGAAUAAUGGGUUCAUUUCCAAGCUCCACAGCAGAUCAGCAGAUCAAUCUAGAUGCCCUGAUGCCCUGUUUUACAUAAUGGAGUGUAUGACUGCUUCCUCUUUCCCUUUUCUGCAGUACUGCCCUCCAGCUCCUGCCUGGGUUAAUUUGGAUGUUCUCUAUUGCUCACUCCUUCCCUGCUCCCCUCAACUCCUCCCUCCCCACUGCUUGCCCAUCCCUUUUGGCCUGCAUCUCUUCCCUCUCUCCUGCUGGGAUGGAUGUAAUCCUCAGUGGAAUGUGGCCUACAGGCCUCUGCAGGACUUGGGCGUGUGGCUCUGGAGAGCCACUGAUGCCGAAUGUAAAGCAGGAAAACACAGCCUCCUAUCACCUGGCAGCCCAGGGAGGGAAGAGCUGGAUAUCUGUGGGCUGUUCAGUGUGCCUGGAUGUCCAGACAGCUUAUCAGAUGAAAAAUAGAGGCCAGACUUUUAGGCUUCAUGUGCCAUUUCCCUAUUCAUUGUGUCUGGGUGAUGUAUUCUCGGCCUGUGGUUUGAAUAAAUAUCUUUCAUAGCUACUUUCUGCUUCAGUCCCCCUUGGGACAGCUCUUUCCAACUCAGCUGCAUCAGUGUGCUGAAGAUGUGAAGUCCAAGUGUGUGGAACAGAGGAAAGAGGAGAGAGAACUUCAUGCAGAACAUCUAAGAAGCUUUAGCUUCAAUCAUAUUUCUGUGAAAGCUGCUGCACACAACACAAGCUUCACCUGCAGUGUAAGUUGCACACAAAUCUCUUACUCAGGACUCUUCUUCCCUUUCCUCUUUGUAUUUAUAUGUUCACAGAGUAUUCAAAGUAUUUGCAAGGAGAAUCCCAAGCUACUGGUGGGACCCAACCUUUGCAUUUGGGAUGUUGGUGUGUUUUAGAGAGUAUCCUGGAAAAGUAACAGGGAUGUAAUGGAAUAAAGAAAUCACAAUUCUGUCUGGGGAAACUGAGUUUUGUUUUAUGUAGUAAGCACCCAUCUCAACCCUGCUAGAGCUGAACAAACCCCCUUCUCUAGCAGAAACCCGAGUUGUUGUUAAUUAACGUCUUGCUGAAAACUAAGUCUUUGCCAUCUGUUCCGCCACCUCACUACGAAUGCUGCUCUCAUGUUGAUUAUGUAAGUAAAAAUGAAAAUAUAUUUUGGUAGAGUGCUGCAUGGCACUGUGCUGAUUCUUCUCCUGUUUCUAUUUACCAUUCCCAGCCCCCAUCCCACAAGGAAAGGAAAAGGUGACAAUUUGCUAAACAGAACUAAAUGCUCAGAUACUUUCAAAAAGCGUCAGAAGCUGCUUUCAUCUCGGCAGCUUUAUCCUGGAGCUGCUGUCCUGGCUGCUGAGCCCUGCAUGUUGUGGGAGCAGCCACCUCACCCUGCUGUGUUUGAGCCCUGAGCCCUUUGCAAACCCUGCCUAUUAUUAGGUUCCUGAAAAAGCCAUGGUGGGAAGAUGCCCCUUAAGGUGAAGCUGCUCUGAAUUCUUGUGAGGGGUUAACUUGAAAUGCAGAAGAAGAAAAGUGAAAAGGAAGGCCCGGUUACUCCAUAAGUGAUAGCCUGACCUCUGGGAGCAGCCUGCUGCUCCUGUUACAAGCGUAGCCUCUGUCUGUCCAAGGGUGGAGAAGGAGAGAAAGAGGAGGGGUAGCUUUCCUGUAAGUGGGUUAGAGCAAUUACUGAGGUCUCUUACAGCAAAUGAAGUUGUCAGUGUGAGUCACAUUCCCUUUUUUCUCUCACUGCCAAGUUUUAGGUAUAACCAGACAGAGAGAGAGAAAAAAAAGGAAAAGCAACAAUGGGGUAAAGUUGAACUGGAACAACCCUUCAUUCGGGGUAUUGUUUGAUGUUUUAGCUCUGAUUGUACAUAGAGAUAAAGGAUCUAUAAAUAUCCUGUCUGCUGAAAUUCCUUAUCACAACAUCGCCUGUCAGCUGAACAAAUAGGUUAGGUUCUCAAAUAAUACAUAAUUACAAUUAUGUAUGUAAAUACAAAAUUACUGAUUAAAUCCCUGCAAUAUCACAUGCAACGGAGCCUCAUCACUGGAGACCACAUUAACCUCUUGUGGUGCACUAGAGCUGCCUCAGCCUUAGGACAGCAAGUGGCACAUGCAGCUGUUAGUGCUGAAACAGCAGGAGCUUGGAGACUGGGCUGGAAUAAGCAAGGAGAUAUUUAUCUGCAUGACUAGGCUAGAUGAAAGCAUCUUCUGACACUUUUUGAAAGUAUCUGAGCAUUUAGUUCUGUUUAGCAAAUGUCUGGAACCUUUUCUACUCUGCUUUAGAGCUUUUAAUGAAGCAUUGUGAUUCCCAUUGUGGUCAAUUGUUUGACACUUUUAUUAUUACUGGUAUGCAGAGCGGUUUUUAAUGUUUGACAGCUGGAGAAAGAAGUAUUUUGUGCAUUGAAACUUUUAGCACAAAGCUGCUGUUUUCCAUUCUGCCUUUGUCUUUUAUUCUUGCUGAUGCAAAUCAGCAAAAGACAGAACUGAUUAAAUUACAUUUGUUUAUUUCUUCCUUGAUGAUAAUAAGACACAGCCUGCCUUUUAUAAAAGAAAUAGAGGAUGUGACUGUUUCUACAGUAUUUCUAGAAAGGCUUUUUUUCCCCUUACAAGAUAAAGGCAUUUAUUUGUUUCUAAUGUCUUGAUUUAGCAGAUAAUGUGCACUUCCUAAUGUGUGUGGAACAAGAAUAGAGCUAUGAAGGACAGUUAGCAAUGAAUUCCAUUUGGAAAGCUUCUAUCUUGUUAUUUUUAUUAAUCCAACAGUAUAAAUUAGCAGAACACAUCACAAAACAAACACAGCAAGAUACUUCUGUCCUUCACAGUAGGCCUGCUGAUCACUGCACAGAGCAGUGCCCUCCAUUGCAGGCUUUGGGUUUAUACAGCCACAGUCCUGCUACUGGGUCCUGCCUUCAGGGCACUGGUACCACUGCAGAGAAAGGAGAGGCACAAAUAGGAUUCCCAGGAUUGUUUUGGUGAGUAAUGUGCAUGUCUUGGGGAUUGUGUAAUUUUAUUUUUUUUUUUUUGAACACUUGUCCUGAGAAAGGAGGACUGGGUUUCUUGCUUGCACAGUUUGCAAGGGAAAAUUUCUAGUGGAAAGGCUCUCCUGAUCCAGGCUGCUUGUGAGAGGGUAGGACAAUGUCACCAGGAGCACAGAGAAUUAUAGCUGGGAGACUUUGGGAAGCAUAAAUGGCAGAAACAGGAGAGCCAGAGGACAAACAGAAAGGAGAUAGUUAAGGAAGCCAUUACAAAACUACCCUCAUGAUUCCUUUUUCCUGCAUUUUUCAAAAACAGAGAAAAGGGUGGCAAAGGCAAGAGAAGUACGAAGGCUUCUCAGCAGUGUAGUCAAACCUCCUGAUUUUACAGCUGAAACUAGUCUUAGGGAGUGAUAUCACCAGGCAGCUGAGCCAAAUCUAAAGGACUGCUGGUAUCAAAAUGAUGCUUCUGCUUCCAGUCAUGCUGCUUUCUUUGUACAGGCCUGGUGCUUGUCUGACUCUUUAAUGAGCUCAUGCAGCUCAGUAAAUGGCAAGAAAAUUAAUUCAGUAAAAAAUAUACCGGUCCAGGAAAGGAGAAGAAUUGGACACUGUGAGAAUGGAGACUGCAAUGAGUGGGAGAAGUACAAACAUCAGAAUUUUGCUGCACAUUUGGGGUGUUUUGGGGGGUGCCUUGCUCCUAGUUGAUGCUUAACCUCUCACUUCAUCUCCUAGGUGGGGCUUCCCUCAAAAUGGCACAGGAUGAACACGCCUGAGCAGGGAGGUGACUGGAGAGGUAAAGGAAGGUCACCCCUGGGGCAGAGAGAGGAUUGAAUGGGACUGCAGCAGCCCAGCAGGAUGCUGACAUGGGGAAGAGUGUAGUACAAGAGGAACCAAGAAGGAAAGGGGACACUUGCAGAGUAACCACAGAAGGUUACUGCAACAAGCACUGGAAAAAUGCUUGAGUAUAGAGUAAUGGUCCCAUCUUCCUAAUCUAGCUUUUAAAGGGUUUAUUCUCAUCUAUCCCUGUAGCUGCCCCUGAAGGUGCUUAUGACCCUUAUUUAGCCAUACAUUUCUUUAAAUUGAGUUUUGAUAAGAGGACAGCUGCUGCAUUUUUAUUAUCUGUGAUAAGCAGCAGUAAAAUCUGUUUAGAGUUCAUGAUGGAAAUGUAUCCAUAUAUUGGCAGUUCUCCAGCUGCACUUCACAAAGGUAAAUGGGACAUGAGAGUGGUGAACUGCCCCCUUUUAAUCCAUUUUCUCUAGACUAGGGCACUUUGCCUCUCUGCAGGAGAGGCCAGCACAGCUACUGUGCUAAUAAACACUCAUUCCUCACUGCAGCAUCUGCACUUCCCAGACUCAUAAAUCCAAGCAACUUGUAGUUGAAUAGCAAUUAAAUAUCCACGUGCAUUUCCAUAGCACGGUCUGGUGCACAAGGCAUAGGCUAAGUGGCUGCACAUCUGCUGUCUGCUCCCCCACACGUGCUGCUUGACAGAGCGCGAUCACUUAACCUUAUCCUGCCACCAGUAAUGGUACAUGGAAAAUUGGAUGCAGAGCAUCAUCCUACAGGAUUUCCAGGCCAUGGAUUCAAUCAGGCUGUUAAUGUCAGUUGGAAAUGAGACAUCAAAUUGAAAAGUUACUUGAUAUUCAGGACACUGAUAUAUCCUCACAACAGUUUUGUGUCACUUGUACAAAACCCAGAGACUUGGUAAUGCAGUAAGAUAAAUGUAGUGCCUGAUUACAGUGGAUGUAUCGGACUUAUAAAAGGCAUCUCUUAUCAUGAGGCUGUGUGUAUCUGCAAUAAUAACCACCAUAUGUCAGGUAAGACAAAGAUAAUGUGAGCCAGAUCAUUUUCCCAUUGUUAAAACUGCCAAAAUCCAAAAAGCUACAAAUGUCUUCAUUAUUAAUUCAAUUUUGCUACAUCUAGUGCUGGUAGCUGGAGGGAACAUCUUUCUGAGGUUCAAUUUUUCCUCUAGUCUAACUGAUAACAGUCUGUGUAGCAGAGUUUUAAAUUCUAUAGCCAUUUAAAGAAGUAGAAUUGUACACAGUCAUUGCCCAUCUUGAAUUUCCAUGCAGCAGGAUUUUACCACAUGAAACUGCAGUUCAGAUGUUCUCAUCUUGAACAAACAGAUAAGCCUUGCACUUUGCUUUGAACUUAACGUGAAUUUAACAGUGGUGAAGCUGUAUGAGGCACCAGCCUGUCUUGUGUCUGACUGUACAGUGUUUUUGUUGUACAGUUGCCUAUCAAAAUGCUUCCCCAUGGAACUGGCAGAAAUCUUGAAUUCCCUCCCCAACCCCCACCCCGUGUGUUUGUCAGCUGCAGACCAAGUCCCAGCCAGAUCACAAGAACAUCCUGAAUCAGUCACAAUAAUUUGCAUUUCCUUGCCAAAGAUUUUAUCUGCUGGGGGUGGAAAUUGUGCCAUCAAGGUUGCUGGUGUUGAAAAAUCUGCACCCUUCUGCUCCUCAGCUCUUCCUUUCCCAGCUAGGUUAAUUUAUCCAGAAGAAUUAAUUGAAGGAACAAAGCUGACAAGUUAGAAAGGCCACACAGCAAGACAGCACCACUCUGAACAUCUGCACAGUUUGUGUAUUUGAUUAAGUACCUCAGUACUGGCAGAUUAUUGUUGUUAAAAGCAAAUCUUACUUUUGCCAUUUUCAUACAAGACUCUCUCCUGUUGUUCUGCAGAUGUUUGUUCUCUGUAUCUCUACAUUGCUUAAAAAUGAUGAAUGAUGAUAGUAAAAAUUACACAUGCUCAUUCAAACAUCUUGCUGUUUACAUAUAAGAAAAAUCAUGUGCUGGGGCGCAAUGACCUAAUGAGAGAUGUGACAUGGCCUUCAGCAAGAGCUGGAAGGGACCCUCAAAAUCUACUGCUUUCACACAAAUUGUCCUCCAAUAUAUAUAAUGAAAACCUUCUUUUGUUUUUAAUGACAGAUGCCAGGGGUUGUAUGUUUGAGUAUUAUUUUUUCUCUAGGAGUGCUUAUUAACAAAUGCUUGCAAGUUUUAUGAUGUGGUGAAAAAUGUAUCACUCAUGAUAAACAGGAAGUGCUCAGAGGUAUUGCAUUACCCCAUAAUGCAACACAGAUUCCAACAGCUUGGCUCUUUUUCUCAAAAUAUGGUGACACCACUUCCUUUAGGAAAUCUCUCUUCUCUUCACAGCUUUUAUCUGCUAUAGAUAUGCAAAACUGCAAAAGAAAUAUUUCUUUUUUAAAAUGGUGAUUCAUCAGUUUUGGACUGUAGAUACUAAUGUCUAUCAUUUAUACAGAAUCUAUUAAAAAUAAGCAGUAAAGACCUUUUGAGCUGUCAGAUCAGUGGAUUGAACAAAGUGAAAGGAAAGAAGACUGAUACCUGCCGUCUCUCUAGCAGCAUAGGUGUAGACAGCAAAGAUGCAGAUUUCCCUGCAGCCUGCCCAGCAGAGAAGAGGGAAUCCUGUUUCCUUGCCACUUGCCCAGGAAAGCCCAGUGUGAUAGUUUGUAUGUGGAACCUUCAUCCAGAAUUGCUGUGCUAUUGGCCUGCAGCUUACUCUAAAGGCUGCCAUGCACUCGUCAUGGAAUGUACAGCCAUUAAUGCUGGCUGAAUGUUCAACCCUGGUGAAAAUCUCAGAGUGCCAUUAGUGUACUGUUCCCUAUCACUUGUUUCUGUUCAGCCACUGCCCAUGGUUUAGAUUACAUCUAAUCAAGGCAAGUAGGACGUGUACUUGUGCCACCAGAGUCAUCAGCCGCACGCGUUUGUGCUGAGCGUCACCCCGGCAGACGCCACGUCAGGGAAAGCAAGUCCUGGUGAGCUCUUUUUAGCAGGCCUGGCACCAGUCCCCAAACUGGUUCUCCCUGAAUAGACUUGUGUGUCUGCCAGGGGCUUCACUUGCACACAGCCAGAUGCAGUGGGGUCUGGAUAUCAGCCCUCCAACCAAGGCCCUUCUAUUCCCACAGCCCAGUCCCACUACCUGUUCAUUUUACUUGUAAUUUACAUUCUCCCCCUCCAUAUUCUCUUUUAUUCAUUCUUGCAUCACCUUUUUUCCUCUGUCUUCACAUCAGCCAACCUCUUCAUUACAAAAGUUCCCUACAUUUUUUGCUAUGAGCAAAAAGCAUUAAAAAUGCAAUAUUUAGACAACAUAAAAUCCUAAUAAUCCUGUUUUUACAUGCUUUGACUUCUGCCUCUGCUGGAGGCAUCACUUGUCCUGCCUACAGCUGAACCAAAAAUAAGUGUGGGGGAAACACACUGCAUGUUCUAGUAUUUGUAAAUUAUUAGACUUCUGAGGUUAUGUAAUAAUUUUGUAAAAUUAUGUAAAAACUUUUAAUUUAUUAGCAGUCAAUUAUACCAGAAACAAGAGACUAAUAUUAUGUACUAGCUAAAUCUUAUUGUAAGAACUUAAUAGCCUUCCAGUGUACAAGGCUUCAGCACGGGAAAACAGGUGUCAUGUAGCAGGACCUCAGUGAAGACUCACAAGUCGCUGUAAUAUGCUGUGUAAAUACUUAAUAUGCGUAUGUUUCAUUUUGCCAGUCCUGUAAAUUAACUUUUUAUCUGGUUAUUCAAUUCUCUUAUCAUCCUCAGCUUGUUUACUGAAUUUCAUGUCUUGGGCAAGAUGAAGCAAGCUCAUGAGGAGUAGCUGGUUUUCAAAAGAUACAAGCUCCAGAUAACCGAGGACAAGUAAGGCACACAACAAUAUUGAAAUCACUCAGAGUUUUAUUGCAGCUGACUGAGACAGAGUGUGCUUUGAGGCUGGGAAAUUUCCAUUACUGAACUGCAGGACAGUGCUUGGAUACUGCUACAACUGCAGUUGAAAAAUAAAAGCAACUUAAUUUUAUACAGACAGCUACAAAAUCUUAGUAUAUUAAUUAAAAUAGCUAGAUUUAUAUGAUAAGCUUUUAAGGUUGCUGUAAAAUAGAUCCCUUUAAAAAUAUUUAGAGUAUGAUUGUAAACUAAUUGUUCAAAACUAAAGAAUAUGAAAAUGAUUUGAAAUUGCAACUGUGUUUUCAAACUGUAUUUGUGAACAGCAAAACUAACCAGAACAUGAUAGAUAAUACAAGAUAUCUCCUACAACAGUGACAGGUUCUGACAGUGACAGAAUGAUACCCAGUGCAGGAUCAAGGCUGUUACUGACAGAAUCAUUCUGCAAUUAAUAAUCUUUUGUGCUCCCCUUGGCAUGCACAGAACAACCACAGCAAUCUGUUUACUCAUCUUAACUCCAUGGUGUCUAAGCUCCAUGCAAAGUCCACCAGAAUGUUGAAUGCAGAAAAAAGGAAAUACUGGGGAGGAAAGUAAAUUUCUUCUGGCACCAAGGCCCAGCAGUGUGGAUGAGAGAGUGUUUUUAACCUCCCAGCAGUGCGAGAUUACAGCAAGAGCCUCAUUUUCAUUAAGGUCACUUUACACUGCAAAAGCAGUGGUCAUUCACAUGAAGAUGAGUCUCAAGGGAUUUCUGAUGUGUGUCACCUGUUCAGUCAAGCCCAGGUAGGUACUGACUAGAAGUUAUUACCAGCUGACGCUCUUUCUGAAUCUUAGGAUAGUUCCCUGUGGAUCAGAGCUCAUAUCUAAGCAAUUUCAAGAACCAUCACCAUGGUUCCUGAGUGCCUUAGAAGUUAAAAUAUAUCUUUAUAAAACAUUUUAACAUGUCUUAUUUCUCUCUCUCAUCACCCCCACACAAAGGCUUGAGGUCUUUUAAAAUAAUUCUGGUAAAACUGUAUGUACUUAAUGCCAGUGUUUGGUUGGGAUGAUGGGGAGGUUCAGGUUCAUGCUGACAUACUUGUACAACAGCUACCAAGAAAGCCAUGGCUGCAAAUCACACAGCCGGUAUAAUUAAGAUGAUUUUAGGAGAUGUGGCUUCAGUUUUAAAUUAGCACAAAGAUCUGAGAUGCCUCCCACCCCCACUACAGAGGGACACCAUAGGGCAGCUCCAUGGUGUUUGUCCUCAGUCUGACCCAGCACUGCUGAUCCCAGGGCUCAGGGGCCCUGUGGUACAAUGUUCCCUUUUCAAGAGACCUAUUUACA